GCCUUUGAAGCUCAGCCAAAGCUGUAGGUAGGGCCUGAACCUGCUCCUGUGGAACAUCCUGCUCGGCCAAGGACUACCCUAUUAGUCUUGAGCUCGACUUUUCACAGACAUUUAUGAAUAGAAAAAGAAAACACAUUCUUAAUAAUCCAUUCACAAAGGCAUGCAGCAGUGUUUACCAUAAUUGCAAAAUUUAAAUUAAAUUCACAAUAGCAUAAAAAGGUAGCCCAAUUUUUGUAAUUUGGUCCCAAGCAUUUGACAUUUCCAUGGUGAAAAUCUGACAAGUCUGAACCACCCAAAUUUGGCAGUCUGAUGUACAUAAAAAAGAUGCAAAAUAACUCGACAGGAAACAAAGGUUAAUUAUCAUAAAAAUUAAUCAUGAAUAAACCACAACAGAUGGAAGAAUUCUCGUAGUUAUGCCUACAAAAUCUAGAGACUAACAAUUAAUUGCAAUAACAGAAAAAAGAGUGGACAAGGGAAAAAGAUCUGGCAAGUAGAUGCAUGCAUCAUAAGAUUACCUUCAUGUCUGAACUUUUCCUGCCAGACCUUCGUUUAACUUUUGCGUUCACAGGGUUUGAUUGUUUGAGUUUAUGCAUCUUAAGUUGUUUCCGAACCAACCACCCACGGAUUGCUGAAAGCACAUUAAAAGAAAAAAGAAAGAAAGUAAGAAACUGUGUGCCAUUAGAAAACCACAAAGUUGGCUAAUCAACAACAUAAUUUCUACCAGAUUGUAAACAUAUGAUCUCUCUCAGCUGCUCAUCACGAAUUUCGGGAACAACAGCCGAACAACUCUUUCCCAAGCUAGCAUGUCGCCUCCUCGUAUUCUCACCACGUGCAACUACAUUGUAGAGGUAACUUUCAUCAUAUAGGUGAAUGAAAAAGCUCAGGAACAUUUUUAAUGAGACAGGCUUCGGAGGUUUUAAAAAAAUCAAGUAUGAUUCAUAAAUCUUAGACUUUGAGCCCCCAAAAUAACUAACAUUGGUGCUUUAAAGCACAAACACAAGUAAACACCAAAACUGAAGGACCCCAGAGGAAUUUUGCUCCAUUGAAUAAAACGAGCAAGUGACAUCAAGAAUAUAUAGAGACAAAUAAG
This 1090-nucleotide long non-coding RNA is filed under the name Citrus sinensis (sweet orange). Its description in RNAcentral is "long non-coding RNA (CSIN_LNC000084)". The record is from RNAcentral. Lineage: Eukaryota; Viridiplantae; Streptophyta; Magnoliopsida; Sapindales; Rutaceae.